Molecule: ribosomal RNA, 274 nt
Filed under: uncultured bacterium
Lineage: Bacteria
Description: partial 16S ribosomal RNA
Rfam family: Bacterial small subunit ribosomal RNA
Source: RNAcentral
AUACGGAGGGUGCAAGCGUUGUCCGGAUUUAUUGGGUUUAAAGGGUGCGCAGGCGGUGCGUUAAGUCAGUGGUGAAAUCUUCCGGCUCAACCGGGAAACUGCCAUUGAUACUGGCGCACUUGAGUACGGACGAGGUAGGCGGAAUUUAUGGUGUAGCGGUGAAAUGCAUAGAUACCAUAAAGAACACCGAUAGCAAAGGCAGCUUACCAGACCGUAACUGACGCUCAGGCACGAAAGCGUGGGGAGCAAACAGGAUUAGAAACCCUAGUAGUCC